GUUUUAAUAGUUUAAUAAAAACAUUGGGUCUUGUAAAUCAAAAAUAAGUAUUUUACUUUUAAAACU
This 66-nucleotide transfer RNA is filed under the name Chauliodes pectinicornis (summer fishfly). RNAcentral's name for it is "tRNA-Thr". The record is from RNAcentral. Lineage: Eukaryota; Metazoa; Arthropoda; Insecta; Megaloptera; Corydalidae.